UCGGGAAUCUUCCGCAAUGGGCGAAAGUCUGACGCAGCGACGCCGCGUGUGGGAGGAAGCUCUUCGGGGUGUAAACCACUGUCAGGAGGGAAGAAAGGCGCUGACUCGAACAGGGUCUAGCGAUUGACGGUACCUCCAAAGGAAGCGCCGGCUAACUCCGUGCCAGCAGCCGCGGUAAGACGGAGGGCGCAAGCGUUGUUCGGAAUUACUGGGCGUAAAGCGCGGGCAGGCGGUCUGUUAAGUCGUUUGUGAAAACCCGGGGCUCAACCCCGUGGAAUGCAUACGAUACUGGCAGGCUGGAGACUGGUAGAGGCUAGCGGAAUUCCUGGUGUAGCGGUGGAAUGCGUAGAUAUCAGGAAGAACACCUGUGGCGAAGGCGGCUAGCUGGGCCAGAUCUGACGCUCAUCCGCGAAAGCGUGGGGAGCAAA
RNAcentral lists this ribosomal RNA (428 nucleotides) under uncultured bacterium. RNAcentral describes it as "bacterial SSU rRNA". It matches the Rfam family "Bacterial small subunit ribosomal RNA", at positions 355 to 772 of the family's 1533-position model. The record is from RNAcentral.